UACAGAGGGUGCAAGCGUUAAUCGGAAUUACUGGGCGUAAAGCGUGCGUAGACGGUUAUCUAAGUCGGAUGUGAAAUCCCCGGGCUCAACCUGGGAAUUGCAUUCGAGACUGAAUAGCUAGGGUGCGGGAGAGGGAAGCGGAAUUUCCGGUGUAGCGGUGAAAUGCGUAGAUAUCGGAGGGAACAUCAGUGGCGAAAGCGGCUUCCUGGUCCAGCACCGACGUUCAGGCACGAAAGCGUGGGGAGCAAACAGG
RNAcentral lists this ribosomal RNA (253 nucleotides) under uncultured bacterium. Its description in RNAcentral is "partial 16S ribosomal RNA". It matches the Rfam family "Bacterial small subunit ribosomal RNA", at positions 524 to 776 of the family's 1533-position model. The record is from RNAcentral.